CCUACGGGUGGCAGCAGUGAGGAAUAUUGGUCAAUGGACGAGAGUCUGAACCAGCCAAGUAGCGUGAAGGAUGACUGCCCUAUGGGUUGUAAACUUCUUUUAUAUGGGAAUAAAAUGUUCCACGUGUGGGAUUUUGUAUGUACCAUAUGAAUAAGGAUCGGCUAAUUCCGUGCCAGCAGCCGCGGUAAUACGGAGGAUCCGAGCGUUAUCCGGAUUUAUUGGGUUUAAAGGGAGCGUAGGCGGCUUCUUAAGUCAGUUGUGAAAUUUUGCGGCUCAACCGUAACAUUGCAGUUGAAACUGGCGGGCUUGAGUACAGUAGAGGUAGGCGGAAUUCGUGGUGUAGCGGUGAAAUGCUUAGAUAUCACGAAGAACUCCGAUUGCGAAGGCAGCUCACUGGACUGCAACUGACGCUGAGGCUCGAAGGUGCGGGUAUCGAACAGGAUUAGAUACCCCGGUAGUC
RNAcentral lists this ribosomal RNA (460 nucleotides) under uncultured bacterium. RNAcentral describes it as "partial 16S ribosomal RNA". It matches the Rfam family "Bacterial small subunit ribosomal RNA", at positions 338 to 795 of the family's 1533-position model. The record is from RNAcentral.